UACGAAGGGGGCUAGCGUUGUUCGGAAUUACUGGGCGUAAAGCGCGCGUAGGCGGACGCUUAAGUCAGGGGUGAAAUCCCGGGGCUCAACCCCGGAACGGCCUUUGAUACUGGGUGUCUGGAGUCCGGAAGAGGUUGGUGGAAUUCCGAGUGUAGAGGUGAAAUUCGUAGAUAUUCGGAGGAACACCAGAGGCGAAGGCGGCCAACUGGUCCGGUACUGACGCUGAGGCGCGAAAGCGUGGGGAGCAAACAGG
RNAcentral lists this ribosomal RNA (253 nucleotides) under uncultured bacterium. Its description in RNAcentral is "partial 16S ribosomal RNA". It matches the Rfam family "Bacterial small subunit ribosomal RNA", at positions 524 to 776 of the family's 1533-position model. The record is from RNAcentral.